AGGCUUAACACAUGCAAGUCGAGCGCACUCUUUUAGAGUGAGCGGCAAACGGGUGAGUAACGCGUGGGAAUCUACCCAUCUCUACGGAAUAACACAGAGAAAUUUGUGCUAAUACCGUAUACGUCCCUUCGGGGAGAAAGAUUUAUCGGAGAUGGAUGAGCCCGCGUUGGAUUAGCUAGUUGGUGAGGUAACGGCUCACCAAGGCGACGAUCCAUAGCUGGUCUGAGAGGAUGAUCAGCCACACUGGGACUGAGACACGGCCCAGACUCCUACGGGAGGCAGCAGUGGGGAAUAUUGGACAAUGGGGGCAACCCUGAUCCAGCCAUGCCGCGUGAGUGAUGAAGGCCCUAGGGUUGUAAAGCUCUUUCA
Molecule: ribosomal RNA, 369 nt
Filed under: uncultured Bartonella sp.
Lineage: Bacteria; Pseudomonadati; Pseudomonadota; Alphaproteobacteria; Hyphomicrobiales; Bartonellaceae
Description: bacterial SSU rRNA
Rfam family: Bacterial small subunit ribosomal RNA
Source: RNAcentral